UAAAACGUAGGAGACGAACGUUAUCCGGAGUUACUGGGCGUAAAGGGCGUGUAGGCGGUAUGUUAAGUCUGGCGUGAAAGCUCUCGGCUAAACCGGGAGAGGUCGUUGGAUACUGGCACACUAGAGGAUGGUAGAGGCGUGUGGAAUUCCGGGUGUAGUGGUGAAAUGCGUAGAGAUCCGGAGGAACACCAGUGGCGAAGGCGACACGCUGGGCCAUACCUGACGCUAAAGCGCGACAGCAUGGGGAGCAAACGGGAUUAGAAACCCCGGUAGUCCAUGCCGUAAACGAUGCCAGCUAGAUGUUCAGAGGGCGCAAGCCGUCGGGGUAUCGAAGCAAACGCGAUAAGCUGGCCGCCUGGGGAGUACGGUCGCAAGGCUA
This 379-nucleotide ribosomal RNA is filed under the name uncultured bacterium. Its description in RNAcentral is "bacterial SSU rRNA". It matches the Rfam family "Bacterial small subunit ribosomal RNA", at positions 521 to 896 of the family's 1533-position model. The record is from RNAcentral.